CAGAGGUCUCAAGCGUUGUUCGGAUUCAUUGGGCGUAAAGGGUGUGUAGGUGGCGCCGUAAGUCGGGUGUGAAAUUUCGGAGCUUAACUCCGAAACUGCAUUCGAUACUGCGGUGCUUGAGGACUGGAGAGGAGACUGGAAUUCAUGGUGUAGCAGUGAAAUGCGUAGAGAUCAUGAGGAAGACCAGUGGCGAAGGCGGGUCUCUGGACAGUUCCUGACACUGAGACACGAAGGCCAGGGGAGCAAACGGG
Molecule: ribosomal RNA, 251 nt
Filed under: uncultured bacterium
Lineage: Bacteria
Description: partial 16S ribosomal RNA
Rfam family: Bacterial small subunit ribosomal RNA
Source: RNAcentral